CCUGGGCACGGUGGCGCACAUCUGUAAUCCCAGCUACUUGGAAGGCUGAGGCAGGAGGAUCACAAGUUUGAAGCCAGCCCCUACAACUUAGUAAUGCCCUGCCUCAAA
RNAcentral lists this small RNA (108 nucleotides) under Marmota monax (woodchuck). The record is from RNAcentral. Lineage: Eukaryota; Metazoa; Chordata; Mammalia; Rodentia; Sciuridae.